AAUUUUUAAAAACCGAAAAACCCUAAAACAUUUGAGUUUCUAAGAAGAAGAACGAGAAAGACUCUCUCGCUCUGUCGCUCCCUUCCACCCGCGGCGGUGCCGCCGUAUCACCGUCUCUGACGAACGCCGUACUCCGUUUCCGCUGCUGUCGCCACCGUCUCCGAUUAGCUCUGGUCCUUUUCUCUCUCCUACUUUAUCUCGAUUGGCUCGAUUUCAAACCUAAAGUCGGGGUUGCAUCUCCGCUUCUGAUUCGGAAACCUUAAAUGUACCCUUAUCGAAACAGAUUUAGGGUUUUGAGCGAAGUCGAUGAAAUACUGAACCUAGAUUGUUCUUCAAAUCGAUGAAAUAGGCUUUGGGCUUAGGAGAUUGACCCUUCUCUGUUUCUGAUCUCGCCUUGUGUGUUUUAUUUUUCCCGCCUGGUUCAUUGCUAUCGCCACUGCGUUCGUGGGUGGGUUAGAAAUCUUGAACGUGAUUAGGUAGGGAAUUGGAAGUGAGCUCCAGUGCUGAAGUUUGUAUUUUGACCGUAAUUGAAUUGGCUGUCAGUCUUUUAUGUGGUGUCUCCAUUGUUAUGCAGAGUGUAAGCAAGAGAUUAUAUAAUUAGAUGGUAAUAUGGAGAAAUACGAUAUUGUUUUUCUUCCAACUUUCCAACGAAAGAAUGUCGACGUAAUGCUACACUUAGAAAUUAACAUCAGUGUCUUGCAGAGCGCAUUUUAGCCCAUUUUCUUUAGAAAUAUGACAGCUGCUUCUUCUGGGGAAAGCGAGGAAGAAGAAGUUGAGAGAAUGAGAUCUGUCUCUCCUAUGUAUUUUAGCUAAGAUUGUGGCAUUGAGAUAGGAGAAAACCCGUCGUGCAAAAGAACAGAACCAAGGCAGCUGUGGCUUUUAUAGAAGGGGUUCCUCUACUGCACAAGAGGAUGUUGUUUGUUCUCCUGUGGUGGUUUCGACAGCCAACCACUGUAGCGGAUUUGGAGGAGAGCAAGAAGAUCUGCUCCAAGCGGUCAGCUUCGGACAUGAUCGAUGGGGCAAAAGGUAAGGGUGAAGUGGAGAAAGUGAGAAUGAACCGGUGCUGCACAAGAGGAUGUUGUUUUUUCUCCUAUGGCAGUUUCGACAGCCACUACUGUAGCGGGUGUGGUGGAAGGCAAAAAGAUCCCUGGAGGGAGGAUUUUUACAAAGGAAGAUGAUAUUUUGAUGUUGGAGGCUAUAAUUGAGUGUCGUGUUAAGACAGGAACUGAACCCAGCUCUCAUGCGGGAGGCUUUUAUGAUUUUGUCAAAGGUUCUCUCCAUGUCGAAGUGUCCAAGACACAGGUCAUGGACAAAAUCAGGUCGCUGCAGAAGAAGUUUCGAGGUAUGGUGGGAAAAUAUAGACAUGAGCAAGAAUUAGCAUUCACACCUCAUGACUCGAAAGUGUUGGAUUUGUCAAUGCAAAUUAGGGGUGUGACUGAUAGUAUAGGAGAAAAACCGAUUGGAAGUGAGGCCCCCCCAGAUGAAACAUACGGCAGGUACGAUUGACAUGACCGGUAAGAAACCUGUGACUCGUAGAUGGCAGAAACAGAAUGCGAUGGAGAAGCAUCAAGAACCAGGAAAUGCAGAAGAUGAGGACAAUUAUGAGCUGCACGAUAGAGAUGUUCAAGUUGUCGGAAAUAGGAUCGAUGUGGCUGAGGAGGACAGAGGUGAAGGAAAAGAGAGCGGACACGGUGAUGCAGACGACUUCUGGGCCCGGUUUCCCUUAUUGAAGGAUGGAGUUGAGACGAUGUUGUCUGAAGGGCUCUUCCUCGAUUUCCCCGCUGCUUGAGAAAGUUGUGUGCUUUGGCUGGGACAAAGGGAAGGAGUGGGAUGCGAAAUGGAAGGAGAUGCGACUGCGCAUUAGGAAGCUUGAUGUUAUGGCUGGGUUCUCGCGGGCAGCUCUUGAUGAGCUGAAGAAGUGAUUGCAAUGUCCACGGUACUCUUUUGCAAUCCGAUCUUUAAGCAUGUUAGAGACAGAACCUAUCUCAGUGCUCAUCUAAUGUCGGUUUUUUGGCCCUUGUUGUCAAUAAAUCUUAGCAUUUAUAUAGGGUUCUUUCUCCCGGGAGAGACAAAUCACAGAUGGCAAACAUGUUAAAUGUCCAUAAUCUCGCAUUUAUUCGUCUAAUUAAUUAAGUUAAUAUC
Tarenaya hassleriana is the source of this 2142-nucleotide long non-coding RNA. RefSeq lists it as uncharacterized. The transcript has 2 exons. The record is from RefSeq and is a predicted model, not a curated record. Lineage: Eukaryota; Viridiplantae; Streptophyta; Magnoliopsida; Brassicales; Cleomaceae.